GCCAGGCACAGGGCAUGCAAUUAUAUUCCCAGCUACUCAGAAGGCUGAGCCAUGAGGAUCCAUUGAGCCCAGGAGUUCUGGUGUGUGCCCUAUGGUAUCAGGUGUCUGCACUGAGUUCCGCAUCAAUCUGGUAACCUCCUGGGAAUGGGGAACGCCCUCAAGGAGUGAACUGGCCUCUGUCAGAAAUGGACCAGGUGAGAAGUUCUGUGCUGAUCCUUAGUGGGAUUGCACCUGUGGAGAGCCAUUGCACUUCAGCCUGGGCAACAUAAUGAGAUCCUGUCUCU
Molecule: signal recognition particle RNA, 284 nt
Filed under: Saimiri boliviensis boliviensis (Bolivian squirrel monkey)
Lineage: Eukaryota; Metazoa; Chordata; Mammalia; Primates; Cebidae
Description: Metazoan signal recognition particle RNA (ENSSBOG00000008095.1)
Rfam family: Metazoan signal recognition particle RNA
About the family: The signal recognition particle (SRP) is a universally conserved ribonucleoprotein. It is involved in the co-translational targeting of proteins to membranes. The eukaryotic SRP consists of a 300-nucleotide 7S RNA and six proteins: SRPs 72, 68, 54, 19, 14, and 9.
Source: RNAcentral